Molecule: RNase P RNA, 374 nt
Filed under: Vagococcus martis
Lineage: Bacteria; Bacillati; Bacillota; Bacilli; Lactobacillales; Enterococcaceae
Description: RNase P RNA component class B
Rfam family: Bacterial RNase P class B
About the family: Ribonuclease P (RNase P) is a ubiquitous endoribonuclease, found in archaea, bacteria and eukarya as well as chloroplasts and mitochondria. Its best characterised activity is the generation of mature 5'-ends of tRNAs by cleaving the 5'-leader elements of precursor-tRNAs.
Source: RNAcentral
AUUUUCGGAUAAUCGCAGUUUACGUUAAGUAAGGUGAGGAAAGUCCAUGCUCGCACAAACUGAGAUGUUUGUAGUGUUCGUGCUUAAUGAAACCAUAAAUUAAGGUACUUCUUUUUAAGAGGUAACGGCAGGAAAAAUAGCUAAGGCUUUUGCUAUGCUAGAGUAUCCUUGAAAGUGCCACAGUGACGAAGUGAUUUUAGAAAUAAAAUCAGUGGAACGGGUAAACCCCUCGAGCGAGCAACCCAAACAAUGGUAGGGGCACCUGUCUCAAGGAAAUGAACUUAGGGAUGGGACAGAAAAAAUUUCUGUAGACAGAUGAUUAUCGUUGAUUAGUGUUACCUGGCAGUAAUCAAUACAGAACAUGGCUUAUAGAA